Molecule: ribosomal RNA, 539 nt
Filed under: uncultured bacterium
Lineage: Bacteria
Description: bacterial SSU rRNA
Rfam family: Bacterial small subunit ribosomal RNA
Source: RNAcentral
GAGGAAUAUUGGUCAAUGGACGGAAGUCUGAACCAGCCAAGUAGCGUGCAGGAUGACGGCCCUAUGGGUUGUAAACUGCUUUUGUAUGGGGAUAAAGUUAGGGACGUGUCCCUAUUUGCAGGUACCAUACGAAUAAGGACCGGCUAAUUCCGUGCCAGCAGCCGCGGUAAUACGGAAGGUCCAGGCGUUAUCCGGAUUUAUUGGGUUUAAAGGGAGCGUAGGCUGGAGAUUAAGUGUGUUGUGAAAUGUAGACGCUCAACGUCUGAAUUGCAGCGCAUACUGGUUUCCUUGAGUACGCACAACGUUGGCGGAAUUCGUCGUGUAGCGGUGAAAUGCUUAGAUAUGACGAAGAACUCCGAUUGCGAAGGCAGCUGACGGGAGCGCAACUGACGCUUAAGCUCGAAGGUGCGGGUAUCGAACAGGAUUAGAUACCCUGGUAGUCCGCACAGUAAACGAUGGAUGCCCGCUGUUGGUACCUGGUAUCAGCGGCUAAGCGAAAGCAUUAAGCAUCCCACCUGGGGAGUACGCCGGCAACGGUG